Long non-coding RNA from Monodelphis domestica (gray short-tailed opossum), 1240 nucleotides. The record is from Ensembl. NCBI's taxonomy places the organism in Eukaryota, Metazoa, Chordata, Mammalia, Didelphimorphia, Didelphidae.
CUUCAAAAAGAGUAAAACCCCAGCAUAUGGAUGAAACUAAAGAUGGCCAAUUCCUGAGACAGAGGAAAGAAAAGGGAGGAAGAUUAAAGAAAAGGUCAAAACAGAACAUGCUGUGCCCACACAUGUCUUCUGGGCUAAUAAAUAUCCUCCUUGGAAACAUUCUGGGAGGCGGCGAGUCUCGAUUGUUGUGGAAAAGUCCUGGGAACUGAGAAGGACGAGAAAGUCUUACGGCUGCCAUUGCCCAGCUGAGAAAGAAAAAAAAGAUGGAAACGACACAUUGGUUCAAUGACUGGGAAAUGGCUGGAUAAAUUGUGGUCUUUCUGUGAAAUGGAACAUUAUCACACCAUAAAAAAUAAUGAAUGUGAACAAUACAAAGAAAUAGGCAAAGACCACUAAAAAGUGAUGGAGAGUGAAGAAAACAUAUACAUCGACUAUUAUGGAUGUACUGAAAGGACCAUCGAAAUCUGACUAGAUAAGCACUCAGAAAUUGGAGGAAGACUCAGAGCCAAAGUGCGAGGGCUAUUUUAUUUGAUUUGAGGUUAUUUGUUUUUUUUCCCUUCUUGAAAUGGAAGUAGUUGAAAGUUUGUGCUUUUGUGAGGUACUUUAUUCCUCAUUUCAUUCGUUUAUUUGGUGGUUCAGCAUCUUAUUAAGUUUAUUAUAAAACUGAUUUUAUAGACCCUAAACAGAAAAACAAGGAAAACCUUCAUGAGCUCAACCAGAGAAGGCGGUGGGGAACAUGGGAAUGGGUUUUCCAAAUGAACUGAGCAUUCAUUAAAACAACAAGACAGUGAAUAGAGGCAAAGACAAAGCUCCUACCAAGUAUUUUACAGUUUGAAUUCGGUGAGAAAUUUCUCCAUCCCUGUUGUUUUGCUGAUUCUCCCAUAGAGGAACAACAUCUGUAAAAGCGACAGGGGCAGGGGAGCCAGAUUCUCACUCCAGGCUCCAAUCCAGCAGCUUUUCUCCCAGGCAAGAUCUGGAUGAGGUUGAUUGGAAGCUGCCCCAAGGACUACGCUGUUCAUAAGCCUUUCUUUCCUUGUCCUGGAUAAUACCAGGGAAAUUCCCUCAUCAUUUGCUCUAAGUGUUUAUUUUGGGUCAGCCUCCCAGUAGUCCCCAAGACACUAAAGCGUCUUAUCUAUGGGCUAUAUUCCCACAGAGUCACCUAUGGGGAGAAGCUCAUGGAGUCACCCAUUCCCAAGUCUGGGAAGCAGUCAAGACUGGAACAUGCAAUAAAGUUGAUGGG